AACGCUGGCGGCGUGCUUCAUACAUGCAAGUCGAACGAGAAGCAAUCUUCGGAUUGUGGAAAGUGGCGGACGGGUGAGUAAUGUGUAGAGAAUCUGCCCUAGAGUGGGGGAUAGCAGUUGGAAACGACUAUUAAUACCCCAUAUGCGCGUAGCUGAGAUGCUAUUCGUGAAAACUCCGGUGCUCUGGGAUGAGUCUGCAUCUGAUUAGCUAGUUGGCGGUGUAAUGGACCACCAAGGCGACGAUCAGUAGCUGGUUUGAGAGGAUGAUCAGCCACAAUGGGACUGAGACACGGCCCAUACUCCUACGGGAGGCAGCAGUAGGGAAUUUUGCGCAAGUGGGGGCAACCCUGACGCAGCAACGCCGCGUGAAUGAAGAAGCCCUUCGGGGUGUAAAGUUCUGUCAGUGGGGACGAAACUUGACGGUACCCACAGAGGAAGCAUCGGCUAACUCCGUGCCAGCCGCGGC
This 466-nucleotide ribosomal RNA is filed under the name uncultured bacterium. Its description in RNAcentral is "bacterial SSU rRNA". It matches the Rfam family "Bacterial small subunit ribosomal RNA", at positions 32 to 518 of the family's 1533-position model. The record is from RNAcentral.